AAUAAUCAUAAAAAAGUGGAAUUUUAAAUUGUGCAAAAUACUUGGACAGUGAAGACAGAAAACUUUGUAAUAUAUGAAUACAAUAAUGUUUAAAAAGGAGGUUAAAGAAAAACUUGAAAAAUUGGAUAGUACCAAGCUGCCACUGGGUCAUGAAAUUAAGGAAUCGUAUACUGGAAAAUUUACAUCAUGUCGAUGGAUGAUUGGCUAUAUGUGCUGUGCGGCACGAUUCAGUCAAUCAGCUAUUCGACAACUCAUCGGUAUGGCCACCGUGUGUAUGACUUUGCAGAGGGUCGUUGAAUAUCAGGUGACCCCUAAAGACAUGGAAGAAUUCCAUCCAAAUGCUAGCCUGAAUGCAACAAAAUUAGUUAAGAAAGAGGAAGAAGAUAUUACAUGGUCUUCAGAAUUUGAGGGAACUGUUUUAGCAGCGUUUAAUUUUGGUUUUACUGCCUCUCCUAUAAUCGGGGGAUAUAUUGCCGAAUAUUUUGGCGGGAAAAUGGUCAUCACAUUUUCCUUGAUUGUCGGGUCUUUGGCAACCGUAUUAACCCCGGUAGCAGCACGUGCUGAUAAGGCGUUAUUGGUGUUCAUGAGGGUUGUAGCUGGUUUAGUCAUGGGUGCCAUAGAUCCAGCUACCCAAUCUCUGUGGUCCAAGUGGGCACCCAUGUAUG
Patella vulgata (common limpet) is the source of this 665-nucleotide long non-coding RNA. RefSeq lists it as uncharacterized. Lineage: Eukaryota; Metazoa; Mollusca; Gastropoda; Patellidae. The transcript has 4 exons. The record is from RefSeq and is a predicted model, not a curated record.